GGGGAAUUAGGGUUUGAUUCCGGAGAAAAGGCCUGAGAGACGGCCAUUACUUCUAAGGAAGGCAGCAGGCGCGUAAAUUACCCCAAUCCUAAUACGGGGAGGUAGUGACAAGAAAUAUUGAUAUUGGACCCAAAGGGUACAAUGAUUGAAAUGAGAACAAUAUAAAAAACUUAACGACUAACAAUUGGAGGGCAAGUCUGGUGCCAGCAGCCGCGGUAAUUCCAGCUCCAAGAGUGUAUAUUAAAGUUGUUGCGGUUAAAAAGCUCGUAGUUGAAUUUCUGAAAAUAAUCUUGUGAUUGAUUUAACCGUCAUGAACAAAAAUUGUUUACAUACUUGAUAGAUGGAAACAUUUAUCUAAUGACUUUGAAAAAAUUAAGAGUAGUUCAAAAGACAUGAUUCACAUUUGAAUAAUACAGCAUGGGAUAAUAUAAUAUGACAUGCUGUAUUAUUCAAAUAGUGAAUCAUGCUUUGAACAAAUACAGCAUGGGAUAAUAUAAUAUGACAUUAG
RNAcentral lists this ribosomal RNA (508 nucleotides) under uncultured eukaryote. RNAcentral's name for it is "bacterial SSU rRNA". It matches the Rfam family "Eukaryotic small subunit ribosomal RNA", at positions 364 to 908 of the family's 1831-position model. The record is from RNAcentral.